AGAGUUUGAUCAUGGCUCAGAUUGAACGCUGGCGGCAGGCCUAACACAUGCAAGUCGAGCGGUAGAGAGGAGCUUGCUUCUCUUGAGAGCGGCGGACGGGUGAGUAAUGCCUAGGAAUCUGCCUAGUGGUGGGGGAUAACGUUCGGAAACGGACGCUAAUACCGCAUACGUCCUACGGGAGAAAGCGGGGGACCUUCGGGCCUCGCGCCAUUAGAUGAGCCUAGGUCGGAUUAGCUAGUUGGUGAGGUAACGGCUCACCAAGGCGACGAUCCGUAACUGGUCUGAGAGGAUGAUCAGUCACACUGGAACUGAGACACGGUCCAGACUCCUACGGGAGGCAGCAGUGGGGAAUAUUGGACAAUGGGCGCAAGCCUGAUCCAGCCAUGCCGCGUGUGUGAAGAAGGUCUUCGGAUUGUAAAGCACUUUAAGUUGGGAGGAAGGGCAGUAAGCGAAUACCUUGCUGUUUUGACGUUACCGACAGAAUAAGCACCGGCUAACUCUGUGCCAGCAGCCGCGGUAAUACAGAGGGUGCAAGCGUUAAUCGGAAUUACUGGGCGUAAAGCGCGCGUAGGUGGUUGGUUAAGUUGGAUGUGAAAGCCCCGGGCUCAACCUGGGAACUGCAUCCAAAACUGGGCGACUAGAGUACGGUAGAGGGUGGUGGAAUUUCCUGUGUAGCGGUGAAAUGCGUAGAUAUAGGAAGGAACACCAGUGGCGAAGCGACCACCUGGACUGAUACUGACACUGAGUGCGAAAGCGUGGGGAGCAACAGAUUAGAUACCCUGUAGUCCACGCCGUAACGAUGUCACUAGCGGUGGGAGUCUUGACUCUAUGGCGCCAGCUAACGCAUUAGUUGACCG
This 857-nucleotide ribosomal RNA is filed under the name uncultured bacterium. RNAcentral describes it as "bacterial SSU rRNA". It matches the Rfam family "Bacterial small subunit ribosomal RNA", at positions 8 to 871 of the family's 1533-position model. The record is from RNAcentral.